RNAcentral lists this ribosomal RNA (478 nucleotides) under uncultured bacterium. RNAcentral describes it as "partial 16S ribosomal RNA". It matches the Rfam family "Bacterial small subunit ribosomal RNA", at positions 28 to 523 of the family's 1533-position model. The record is from RNAcentral.
GACGAACGCUGGCGGCGUGCUUAACACAUGCAAGUCGAACGGUAAGGCCCUCCGGGGUACACGAGUGGCGAACGGGUGAGUAACACGUGGGUGAUCUGCCCUGCACUUCGGGAUAAGCCUGGGAAACUGGGUCUAAUACCGGAUAGGACCACUGCCUGCAUGGGUGGUGGUGGAAAGCUUUUGCGGUGUGGGAUGGGCCCGCGGCCUAUCAGCUUGUUGGUGGGGUGAUGGCCUACCAAGGCGACGACGGGUAGCCGGCCUGAGAGGGUGACCGGCCACACUGGGACUGAGAUACGGCCCAGACUCCUACGGGAGGCAGCAGUGGGGAAUAUUGCACAAUGGGCGCAAGCCUGAUGCAGCGACGCCGCGUGAGGGACGACGGCCUUCGGGUUGUAAACCUCUUUCAGCACCGACGAAGCGCAAGUGACGGUAGGUGCAGAAGAAGGACCGGCCAACUACGUGCCAGCCGCCGCAGUAA